This 476-nucleotide ribosomal RNA is filed under the name uncultured bacterium. RNAcentral's name for it is "partial 16S ribosomal RNA". It matches the Rfam family "Bacterial small subunit ribosomal RNA", at positions 29 to 523 of the family's 1533-position model. The record is from RNAcentral.
AGUGAACGCUGGCGGCGUGCUUAACACAUGCUAGUCGAACGGAUGAAAUAAGCUUGCUUAUUUCGUUAGUGGCGUACGGGUGCGUAAUGUAUAGCUAACCUGCCCUUUAGUGGGGGAAAACAGUUGGAAACGACUGCUAAUAUCCCAUACUCCUUCUCAUCAUAAGGUAAGUCGGGAAAGAUUUAUUGCUAAAGGAUGGGGCUUUAGUGUAUCAGCUAGUUGGUGGGGUAAUGGCCUACCAAGGCGAUGGCGCAUACCUGGUCUGAGAGGAUGAUCAGGCACACUGGAACUGAGACACGGUCCAGACUCCUACGGGAUGCAGCAGUGGGGAAUAUUGCACAAUGGGGGAAACCCUGAUGCAGCAACGCCGCGUGGAGGAUGACGCAUUUCGGUGUGUAAACUCCUUUUAUAAGGGAAGAUAAUGACGGUACCUUAUGAAUAAGCACCGGCUAACUCCGUGCCAGCCGCCGCAGUAA